Molecule: ribosomal RNA, 273 nt
Filed under: uncultured bacterium
Lineage: Bacteria
Description: partial 16S ribosomal RNA
Rfam family: Bacterial small subunit ribosomal RNA
Source: RNAcentral
UACAGAGACUGCAAGCGUUAUUCGGAUUCACUGGGCGUAAAGGGUGCGCAGGCGGCCAAGUGUGUUAGGUGUGAAAGCCCGGGGCUUAACCCCGGAAUUGCACCCAAAACUACAUGGCUAGAGCAUUGGAGAGGGUAGCAGAAUUCAUGGUGUAGCAGUGAAAUGCGUAGAUAUCAUGAGGAAUACCAGAGGCGAAGGCGGCUACCUGGACAAUUGCUGACGCUCAGGCACGAAAGCGUGGGGAGCAAAAGGGAUUAGAAACCCCAGUAGUCC